GUUGUCACAAACAUAACAUUUCAGUGUUCACUUUGUUUUUGUCGAGUAGUUACGUUUUGAUAGUGUAUUCUGUGCCCCAUUGAAAGAUACUUUAUUGAUUGAAGACCAUUCAGUUACAGAACUCCAAAGAUGGUUAGACUUUUUCUAUCAGAACGAUCCUGUUCUACUGUAUACAAUAAACAAUAAGUGAAUACAACAAUAACAUUUCAUAUGGUAUAUGACAUGUGACGGUAAAAUGACAGGAUUUUCACUAUUAAACAACGUACAAACUUAAAAUUC
Leptinotarsa decemlineata (Colorado potato beetle) is the source of this 279-nucleotide long non-coding RNA. The record is from RefSeq and is a predicted model, not a curated record. Lineage: Eukaryota; Metazoa; Arthropoda; Insecta; Coleoptera; Chrysomelidae.